Molecule: unclassified non-coding RNA, 243 nt
Filed under: Glomus sp.
Lineage: Eukaryota; Fungi; Glomeromycota; Glomeromycetes; Glomerales; Glomeraceae
Description: partial contains 5.8S ribosomal RNA and internal transcribed spacer 2
Rfam family: 5.8S ribosomal RNA (bases 1-71)
Source: RNAcentral
GUGAAUCAUCAAAUCUUUGAACGCAAAUUGCACUCUUGGGUAUUCCGGAGAGUAUGCCUGUUUGAGGGUCAGUUAAAAUAAAAAUCGGCGUGGUUGCUGACUGUCGUGGUGACGCAUGGGAUUUGGGUCGUCUUGUCUUCGGUUAAGAGACGUAACAAUGUGCAUGAAUUCUUUCGAAGGUGUUUAAAUGAUUUUAGGUACGUUUGCGAUAUUGAAGACUAGGUGUGGUCAUCGUCAUGAUUC